Molecule: transfer RNA, 85 nt
Filed under: Minisyncoccota bacterium
Lineage: Bacteria; Bacillati; Minisyncoccota
Description: tRNA-Leu
Rfam family: tRNA
About the family: Transfer RNA (tRNA) molecules are approximately 80 nucleotides in length.
Source: RNAcentral
GCCGGGGUGGCGAAAUUGGCAGACGCACUUGCCUUAGGAGCAAGCGAGGUAACUCAUGGAGGUUCAAGUCCUCUCCCCGGCACCA